Molecule: ribosomal RNA, 472 nt
Filed under: uncultured bacterium
Lineage: Bacteria
Description: SSU rRNA
Rfam family: Bacterial small subunit ribosomal RNA
Source: RNAcentral
AGGAUAAACGCUGGCGGCGUGCCUAAUGCAUGCAAGUCGCACGGAGUACUCUUUCGGGGGUACUGAGUGGCGAACGGGUGAGGAACGCGUGGAGAACCUACCCCGGCGUGGGGAUACCCGCCAGAAAUGGCGGCUAAUACCGCGUACGGUCCAGGGGCGGAAGGCUCUCUGGAAGAAAGCAGUAAUGCGCGCUGGGAGGGGUCUGCGCCCGAUUAGCUAGUUGGCGGGGUAAUGGCCCACCAAGGCGGUGAUCGGUAGCUGGUCUGAGAGGAUGAUCAGCCACACUGGGACUGAGACACGGCCCAGACUCCUACGGGAGGCAGCAGUGGGGAAUAUUGGACAAUGGGCGCAAGCCUGAUCCAGCAAUGCCGCGUGGGUGAAGAAGGUCUUCGGAUUGUAAAGCCCUUUCGGCGGGGACGAUGAUGACGGUACCCGCAGAAGAAGCCCCGGCUAACUUCGCGCCAGCAGCCGC